UUGACCUCAAUCAGGGAGGAAAUACCCGCUGAACUUACAUAUCA
This 44-nucleotide ribosomal RNA is filed under the name Metarhizium flavoviride. RNAcentral's name for it is "partial 28S ribosomal RNA". The record is from RNAcentral. Lineage: Eukaryota; Fungi; Ascomycota; Sordariomycetes; Hypocreales; Clavicipitaceae.